This 440-nucleotide ribosomal RNA is filed under the name uncultured bacterium. RNAcentral describes it as "partial 16S ribosomal RNA". It matches the Rfam family "Bacterial small subunit ribosomal RNA", at positions 338 to 795 of the family's 1533-position model. The record is from RNAcentral.
CCUACGGGUGGCAGCAGUGGGGGAUAUUGCACAAUGGGGGGAACCCUGAUGCAGCGACGCCGCGUGGGUGAAGAAGCGCCUCGGCGCGUAAAGCCCUGUCAGCAGGGAAGAAAAUGACGGUACCUGAAUCAGAAGCCCCGGCUAACUCCGUGCCAGCAGCCGCGGUCAUACGUAGGGGGCAAGCGUUAUCCGGGUUUAUUGGGGGUAAAGGGGGCGUAGACGGCGGUGCAAGCCAGGAGUGAAAGCCCGUGGCCCAACCCCGGGCCUGCCCUUGGAACUGCGUGGCUGGAGUGCAGGAGGGGCAGGCGGAAUUCCUGGUGUAGCGGUGAAAUGCGUAGAUAUCAGGAGGAACACCGGUGGCGAAGGCGGCCUGCUGGACUGCAACUGACGUUGAGGCCCGAAAGCGUGGGGAGCAAACAGGAUUAGAUACCCUUGUAGUC